UGGGGGAUAUUGCACAAUGGGCGAAAGCCUGAUGCAGCGACGCCGCGUGGGGGAUGAAGGCCUUCGGGUUGUAAACUUCUUUUGCUCUGAACAAGGCGCACCAUGGGGUGUGUUGAGUGUAGGGGUUGAUUAGCGCCGGCUAACUACGUGCCAGCAGCCGCGGUAAUACGUAGGGCGCGAGCGUUGUCCGGAAUUAUUGGGCGUAAAGGGCUUGUAGGUGGCUGGUUGCGUCUGUCGUGAAAGCUCGUGGCUUAACUGUGGGUUUGCGGUGGGUACGGGCUGGCUUGAGUGCAGUAGGGGAGGCUGGAAUUCCUGGUGUAGCGGUGGAAUGCGCAGAUAUCAGGAGGAAUACCGGUGGCGAAGGCGGGUCUCUGGGCUGUUACUGACACUGAGGAGCGAAAGCAUGGGGAGCGAACAGG
Molecule: ribosomal RNA, 419 nt
Filed under: bacterium
Lineage: Bacteria
Description: partial 16S ribosomal RNA
Rfam family: Bacterial small subunit ribosomal RNA
Source: RNAcentral